Molecule: ribosomal RNA, 276 nt
Filed under: uncultured prokaryote
Description: partial 16S ribosomal RNA
Rfam family: Bacterial small subunit ribosomal RNA
Source: RNAcentral
UACGUAGGGGCUAGCGUUAUCCGGAAUUACUGGGCGUAAAGGGUGCGUAGGUGGUUUCUUAAGUCAGAGGUGAAAGGCUACGGCUCAACCGUAGUAAGCCUUUGAAACUGGGAAACUUGAGUGCAGGAGAGGAGAGUGGAAUUCCUAGUGUAGCGGUGAAAUGCGUAGAUAUUAGGAGGAACACCAGUUGCGAAGGCGGCUCUCUGGACUGUAACUGACGCUGAGGCACGAAAGCGUGGGGAGCAAACAGGAUUAGAUACCCUGGUAGUCCCUGAG